Molecule: ribosomal RNA, 215 nt
Filed under: Clostridioides difficile
Lineage: Bacteria; Bacillati; Bacillota; Clostridia; Peptostreptococcales; Peptostreptococcaceae
Description: partial 23S ribosomal RNA
Rfam family: Bacterial large subunit ribosomal RNA
Source: RNAcentral
AUCCGGUGGUUCUGCGGGGAAGGGCCAUCGCUCAACGGAUAAAAGCUACCCUGGGGAUAACAGGCUUAUCUCCCCCAAGAGUCCACAGCGACGGGGAGGUUUGGCACCUCGAUGUCGGCUCAUCACAGCCUGGGGCUGUAGUAGGUCCCAAGGGUUGGGCUGUUCGCCCAUUAAAGUGGUACGCGAGCUGGGUUCAGAACGUCGUGAGACAGUUC